UAGGGAAUCUUCCACAAUGGACGCAAGUCUGAUGGAGCAACGCCGCGUGAGUGAAGAAGGUUUUCGGAUCGUAAAGCUCUGUUGUUGGUGAAGAAGGAUAGAGGUAUUAACUGGCCUUUAUUUGACGGUAAUCAACCAGAAAGUCACGGCUAACUACGUGCCAGCAGCCGCGGUAAUACGUAGGUGGCAAGCGUUGUCCGGAUUUAUUGGGCGUAAAGCGAGCGCAGGCGGAAGAAUAAGUCUGAUGUGAAAGCCCUCGGCUUAAUCGAGGAACUGCAUCGGAAAGUGUUUUUCUUGAGUGCAGAAGAGGAGAGUGGAACUCCAUGUGUAGCGGUGGAAUGCGUAGAUAUAUGGAAGAACACCCGUGGCGAAGGCGACUCUCUGGUCUGCAACUGACGCUGAGGCUCGAAAGCAUGGGUAGCGAACAGG
Molecule: ribosomal RNA, 429 nt
Filed under: bacterium
Lineage: Bacteria
Description: partial 16S ribosomal RNA
Rfam family: Bacterial small subunit ribosomal RNA
Source: RNAcentral